Molecule: non-coding RNA, 562 nt
Organism: Microcebus murinus (gray mouse lemur)
Lineage: Eukaryota; Metazoa; Chordata; Mammalia; Primates; Cheirogaleidae
Source: the annotation of a RefSeq genome assembly
AUGUAUCUGUCCUGUGCAAAUCAGGAACAAAGAAACCACGUUCCUCUCAUCAGAGUACACAAACUGGUCCGGGCCCAGUCUGCCCUCACCCAGCCUGGCUCUGCGUCUGGGGCUCCGGGACAGACGGUCACCACCUCCUGUGCCGGAAGCAGCAGUGACGUUGGGAAGUAUAACGAAGUCUCCUGGUACCAACAGCACCCGGGCACGGCCCCCAAACUCCUGAUUUAUAGGGUCAGUAGCCGGCCAUCUGGGGUCCCCGAUCGCUUCUCCGGCUCCAAGUCUGGCAACACGGCCUCCCUGACCAUGGCGGGGCUCCGCGCUGAGGACGAGGGUCACUGUUACUGCCAUUCACCUAGGAGUGGUGGCACUCUCCACAGUGGCGCAAGUUCCUGGGGAAGUGCGACCCAAACCUGCCCUGAGCUCACGGCCCCUCCUGCUCUGAAGAUGUUGCCCGCCCUGUGCAGAGGGGCUGCAGGCCACUCGCCUGGGGACUCCCUCCUCCGCCAGCCCUCCUCCCCCUCCCUGCAGUCCGACCUGCUCCCCGGCUGACCAUCUAGGACAA